This 71-nucleotide transfer RNA is filed under the name Tephritis femoralis. RNAcentral describes it as "tRNA-Ala". Lineage: Eukaryota; Metazoa; Arthropoda; Insecta; Diptera; Tephritidae. The record is from RNAcentral.
AGGGUUGUAGUUAAAAUAAAUAAUAACAUUUAAUUUGCAUUUAAAAAAUAUUGAAUUCUCAAUCUACCUUG